RNAcentral lists this long non-coding RNA (1131 nucleotides) under Monodelphis domestica (gray short-tailed opossum). RNAcentral's name for it is "lncRNA (ENSMODG00000044248.1)". The record is from RNAcentral. Lineage: Eukaryota; Metazoa; Chordata; Mammalia; Didelphimorphia; Didelphidae.
UCUUGAGUUUCCUGGGACAACGGAGAGAUACCUGAGAAGGAGAACCAGGAGAAUGAUAACAAGGAGGGCCUCAAGUACUGGUCUAUGGAGGGAGCCCUCCAUCACCCCGGACACCCCCCUACUGCUGGUCCAGGAAGACUUCCAGGCUUCUCAGGCAGACCUCUAGCCAGGUGACUGUGGCCAACAGAAACUUCAGAGAGUGAAACGGUGGAUAAAAGGGCCCUCAUCGAAGCGUGCACAUCAUUGAACCCCACUGCCUAACACGGUACCUUACCUGUACUUGGUUUCAAUCGAGCAAGAACUCAGUGAUCCAUGCUGCCAGCAGCAACAAAUAUGGAGCAUCACUGGACUGAACAAAAUGUCUUGAUGGCAUGUGGUAUUGGUGAGUUAGCCUCAUCAGUCAUCAUUUAGCAAUAAGUUUUUGCAUUUUCUUUAGAAUUAAUUUAUUAACAGGGCUUCUUAUAAAUAUUUUGGUAUCGGGGUAGAUUUACAGAGAGGAAAGAAGUUAUUUCAUGAAGGUUGGAUCUGAUGUGUCACCUUUGAUAAGAAAAUGUGGCUUGGCCUAAAAAUAUUGGAGUCGUGACAUGGAUAAGAUAAUAUUUAAAAGGGUACGGAAUCUCAUAAUGAAACCAUCAAAGGGUGAUAAAGUAUUGCAACAACUACUAUAUGAAGAAGAAAUUGUUUUGAUUGUAGAGAUUCUGCUAUAAGAGGAAGAAAGAGGCUGGGACCAUUUCCAUCAGGAAAGGUUUUCCUUAAAGCUGAGAAAGAGCCCAUCUGUUUGGGACCUGUUAUUCCUUCUGGGAUCCAAAAAUACCUCCACUAGGACUCUUUAAGAGCAACUACCUGAAUUCUCAAGGGGGUUUUGAAUUUGAACUCACUCUGGCCAGAGCCAUCCAGAUCUUUCUCUAAGAUUUCUCUCUCUCCCUGACCUAUUCCUGGAUGCCUGAAUUAAAAGCUAGCUGGCCAGAGGAGGGUUCAAGGCACCCAGCCUUUGAACCCUGAGAACAUGGGGGGCCAGUCUGCCAGCGGGGACCAGUGUUAGCGUUUCCUAUUCCCCACUUUCUUUGCCCAACACCCCUACCUCGUGUGAACCCAAAUAAAUUGUUUACUGCUUUAGAAUUAGGUCUGGUU